AGAGCCCCACGGUUUCGCUGUCCCCGCACACCUCGGCGAGUCCGGUGCCGGCGGCGAUGAUCAGGAGAGCAGCAAUGCAAAUAUGCAAUGGCGAGGGGAACUGGAGGAGGACGGGUACGCGAGGGCACAGGGAGGCACGAUGAAGCCGAUGGACGCGGGGUGGAGUUCAUCCAAGAAAUUAGAGAUGAUUGCUUUAGAGAUCUCAAAUAAUGGGUGGAAGCAUCUAUAUUGUUUGCUUUAGUGUCCUCCUCUAUGUUAAAGACCCUGGCUUUCUCAUGUUUUUUGGUGAUCCGAGACUUUGUAAUAAUUGGCUGUUUACAUCUUUGGAUGUGGAGGCCGGAUAUUGUUUUAUAUCCCUUAUCUAAAAAAAAUCUUUCCUCA
This is a long non-coding RNA of Sorghum bicolor (sorghum), 381 nucleotides long. RefSeq lists it as uncharacterized. The record is from RefSeq and is a predicted model, not a curated record. The transcript is spliced from 2 exons. NCBI's taxonomy places the organism in Eukaryota, Viridiplantae, Streptophyta, Magnoliopsida, Poales, Poaceae.